UGCUUAGAAGUGGCAGUGUCUCCUUGACAAUUUAUGCACCUAAAAAAAACAAGACUGUGUGUGUUCUAAGUUCCAUGCACCAAGACGUGACGAUCGGUGACGGCAGAAAGAGGAAACCCAACACGAUAACAGACUAUAACCACAUGAAGUGUGGUGUAGACGUGUUGGACCAAAUGGCACGGAUGUAUUCCGUAAGAUCAGCAACACGCAGGUGGCCAGUAGCGAUUUUCUA
Molecule: long non-coding RNA, 232 nt
Organism: Oreochromis niloticus (Nile tilapia)
Lineage: Eukaryota; Metazoa; Chordata; Actinopteri; Cichliformes; Cichlidae
Exons: 2
Source: RefSeq, a predicted model, not a curated record